ACGCUUCUUUUUCCACCGGAGCUUGCUCCACCGGAAAAAGAGGAGUGGCGAACGGGUGAGUAACACGUGGGUAACCUGCCCAUCAGAAGGGGAUAACACUUGGAAACAGGUGCUAAUACCGUAUAACAAUCGAAACCGCAUGGUUUUGAUUUGAAAGGCGCUUUCGGGUGUCGCUGAUGGAUGGACCCGCGGUGCAUUAGCUAGUUGGUGAGGUAACGGCUCACCAAGGCCACGAUGCAUAGCCGACCUGAGAGGGUGAUCGGCCACAUUGGGACUGAGACACGGCCCAAACUCCUACGGGAGGCAGCAGUAGGGAAUCUUCGGCAAUGGACGAAAGUCUGACCGAGCAACGCCGCGUGAGUGAAGAAGGUUUUCGGAUCGUAAAACUCUGUUGUUAGAGAAGAACAAGGAUGAGAGUAACUGUUCAUCCCUUGACGGUAUCUAACCAGAAAGCCACGGCUAACUACGUGCCAGCAGCCGCGGUAAUACGUAGGUGGCAAGCGUUGUCCGGAUUUAUUGGGCGUAAAGCGAGCGCAGGCGGUUUCUUAAGUCUGAUGUGAAAGCCCCCGGCUCAACCGGGGAGGGUCAUUGGAAACUGGGAGACUUGAGUGCAGAAGAGGAGAGUGGAAUUCCAUGUGUAGCGGUGAAAUGCGUAGAUAUAUGGAGGAACACCAGUGGCGAAGGCGGCUCUCUGGUCUGUAACUGACGCUGAGGCUCGAAAGCGUGGGGAGCAAACAGGAUUAGAUACCCUGGUAGUCCACGCCGUAAACGAUGAGUGCUAAGUGUUGGAGGGUUUCCGCCCUUCAGUGCUGCAGCUAACGCAUUAAGCACUCCGCCUGGGGAGUACGACCGCAAGGUUGAAACUCAAAGGAAUUGACGGGGGCUCGCACAAGCGGUGGAGCAUGUGGUUUAAUUCGAAGCAACGCGAAGAACCUUACCAGGUCUUGACAUCCUUUGACCACUCUAGAGAUAGAGCUUCCCCUU
RNAcentral lists this ribosomal RNA (984 nucleotides) under Enterococcus faecium. RNAcentral's name for it is "bacterial SSU rRNA". It matches the Rfam family "Bacterial small subunit ribosomal RNA", at positions 66 to 1020 of the family's 1533-position model. Lineage: Bacteria; Bacillati; Bacillota; Bacilli; Lactobacillales; Enterococcaceae. The record is from RNAcentral.